GAUGAACGCUAGCUACAGGCUUAACACAUGCAAGUCGAGGGGAAACGACAUCGAAAGCUUGCUUUUGAUGGGCGUCGACCGGCGCACGGGUGAGUAACGCGUAUCCAACCUGCCCACCACUUGGGGAUAACCUUGCGAAAGUAAGACUAAUACCCAAUGAUAUCCCACGAAGACAUCUGAAUGGGAUUAAAGAUUUAUCGGUGAUGGAUGGGGAUGCGUCUGAUUAGCUUGUUGGCGGGGUAACGGCCCACCAAGGCAACGAUCAGUAGGGGUUCUGAGAGGAAGGUCCCCCACAUUGGAACUGAGACACGGUCCAAACUCCUACGGGAGGCAGCAGCGAGGAAUAUUGGUCAAUGGGCGAGAGCCUGAACCAGCCAAGUAGCGUGCAGGAAGACGGCCCUAUGGGUUGUAAACUGCUUUUAUAAGGGAAUAAAGUGGGUCACGUGUGACUUUUUGCAUGUACCUUAUGAAUAAGGACCGGCUAAUUCCGUG
This 492-nucleotide ribosomal RNA is filed under the name uncultured bacterium. Its description in RNAcentral is "partial 16S ribosomal RNA". It matches the Rfam family "Bacterial small subunit ribosomal RNA", at positions 28 to 507 of the family's 1533-position model. The record is from RNAcentral.